This is a long non-coding RNA of Nicotiana attenuata, 978 nucleotides long. RefSeq lists it as uncharacterized. Lineage: Eukaryota; Viridiplantae; Streptophyta; Magnoliopsida; Solanales; Solanaceae. The transcript has 3 exons. The record is from RefSeq and is a predicted model, not a curated record.
CAGUCAUUGUCUCAUGUGGGAUUAUUUUUGAAGAAGCCAAUAUUUACUCAUGGACAACUGUAUGUUGCUCUUUCACGCGUGACGAGUAGAAAAGGGUUGAAGAUUUUAGUUUAUGAUGAUGAUGGCCAAAUAACGAAUGAAGCUAGAAAUGUGGUGUAUAAAGAAGUUUUCCGUAAUUUGGUUUGAGAUGAAUCUAGACAUGAUGGAAUUAUCUGGUAUUUACAAGAAAUCAAGCAGUUGAAAAAAUGGCACAACUUUUGACUUAUAGGUGUCAUGGCACAAAUUUGAGCUAUAUGGACAGACUUUGUGUGAUUGAGCACAAAUAGUACUGUUAUGCACUCCCUUCCUCUUUUGUUUGUCCUUGGUUUGCUCUUACACAUUUAGAACAAAACUUGUCUUCAGGCUGUUGUCAGCAAUUUGGGGGUGACUUAUCCCUGAUACAACAACUUUUUUCUGGAUGGACACGUAGUACUGUACAAGCUAAAAUACAAGAAAGAAGAGCAGCAACAUCCAUUUAGACUUCAAUGGUGGCCAAAGAGUUACUUUCUUCAUACCCGAUGGAUAUUUCUCAUUCCAUAAUGUUUUGCUGGAACACAUCUCAUAGAGGUGUAACAAAUCGUUCCAAAGAGAAAGAUAAAGAUGAAUCAUAAAGUCUUGAUGAUAGCCUAUGCACCUACAAUUGAUGGCUAUGCUGGGAAUGCUCUAGCAGUUAAGGCCUUAGAGCUAUUUUUGGAGAUGAGUUGAAGAAGUAAAAGCACAUGAGGUAGGACAAUUAUCCAUAAAAUAUCUCUUAUUUUUAAUGCCAACAGUAUUUGAUUUCCUAUGUAUAAGGUUCUAAGACUGAUUCAUAAUUGUGUUAUCUGUUCUGGUUUGGUGUUGCUUUUCUUUCAAUGAAAUGAUCUACCGAUUGCAUAUUAUUGAUGGAAGACUGAUUUUUGUGAAAGUUGCUGAGAAUACACAAGCUAACAGAAAAUAAAA